This 948-nucleotide ribosomal RNA is filed under the name Subplenodomus apiicola. RNAcentral describes it as "SSU rRNA". It matches the Rfam family "Eukaryotic small subunit ribosomal RNA", at positions 123 to 1081 of the family's 1831-position model. The record is from RNAcentral. Lineage: Eukaryota; Fungi; Ascomycota; Dothideomycetes; Pleosporales; Leptosphaeriaceae.
GAUAGUACCUUACUACUUGGAUAACCGUGGUAAUUCUAGAGCUAAUACAUGCUUAAAACCCCGACUUCGGAAGGGGUGUAUUUAUUAGAUAAAAAACCAACGCCCUUCGGGGCUUCUUGGUGAUUCAUGAUAACUUUACGGAUCGCAUGGCCUUGCGCCGGCGACGGUUCAUUCAAAUUUCUGCCCUAUCAACUUUCGAUGGUAAGGUAUUGGCUUACCAUGGUUUCAACGGGUAACGGGGAAUUAGGGUUCGAUUCCGGAGAGGGAGCCUGAGAAACGGCUACCACAUCCAAGGAAGGCAGCAGGCGCGCAAAUUACCCAAUCCCGACACGGGGAGGUAGUGACAAUAAAUACUGAUACAGGGCUCUUUUGGGUCUUGUAAUUGGAAUGAGUACAAUUUAAACCUCUUAACGAGGAACAAUUGGAGGGCAAGUCUGGUGCCAGCAGCCGCGGUAAUUCCAGCUCCAAUAGCGUAUAUUAAAGUUGUUGCAGUUAAAAAGCUCGUAGUUGAAACUUGGGUCUGGCUGGCAGGUCCGCCUCACCGCGUGUACUUGUCCGGCCGGGCCUUCCUUCUGGAGAACCUCAUGCCCUUCACUGGGCGUGUUGGGGACCAGGACUUUUACUUUGAAAAAAUUAGAGUGUUCAAAGCAGGCCUUUGCUCGAAUACGUUAGCAUGGAAUAAUAGAAUAGGACGUGCGGUCCUAUUUUGUUGGUUUCUAGGACCGCCGUAAUGAUUAAUAGGGACAGUCGGGGGCAUCAGUAUUCAAUUGUCAGAGGUGAAAUUCUUGGAUUUAUUGAAGACUAACUACUGCGAAAGCAUUUGCCAAGGAUGUUUUCAUUAAUCAGUGAACGAAAGUUAGGGGAUCGAAGACGAUCAGAUACCGUCGUAGUCUUAACCGUAAACUAUGCCGACUAGGGAUCGGGCGAUGUUCUUUUUCUGACUCGCUC